RNAcentral lists this small RNA (131 nucleotides) under Salix viminalis (osier). Lineage: Eukaryota; Viridiplantae; Streptophyta; Magnoliopsida; Malpighiales; Salicaceae. The record is from RNAcentral.
AUUUGCCCACGAACAACACUGUAAGUGUCAUUCAACCCCAUCAAAAACUGCAUGAGCUUUUGUUGUUCCUGUUGUCCCGUGGGUAUAGAGUCAGUGUAGGAGCUCAAUUCGUCCAUAGGCCCUUCAAUUUU